GAUGAAGAACGUAGUGAAAUGCGAUAAUUAAUGUGAAUUGCAGAAUUCAGUGAAUCAUCGAGUCUUUGAACGCACAUUGCGCCCCCUGGUAUUCCGGGGGGCAUGCCUGUCCGAGCGUCAUUGCUGCCCUCAAGCACGGCUUGUGUGUUGGGCUUCCGUCCCUGGCAACGGGGACGGGCCCAAAAGGCAGUGGCGGCACCAUGUCUGGUCCUCGAGCGUAUGGGGCUUUGUCACCCGCUCCCGUAGGUCCAGCUGGCAGCUAGCCUCGCAACCAAUCUUUUUAACCAGGUUGACCUCGGAUCAGGUUGGGAUACCCGCUGAACUUAAGCAUAUCAAUAAGCGGAGGA
Molecule: unclassified non-coding RNA, 347 nt
Filed under: soil metagenome
Description: partial contains 5.8S ribosomal RNA, internal transcribed spacer 2, and large subunit ribosomal RNA
Rfam family: 5.8S ribosomal RNA (bases 1-120)
Source: RNAcentral